This 833-nucleotide ribosomal RNA is filed under the name uncultured Halobacterium sp. Its description in RNAcentral is "bacterial SSU rRNA". It matches the Rfam family "Archaeal small subunit ribosomal RNA", at positions 384 to 1213 of the family's 1478-position model. Lineage: Archaea; Methanobacteriati; Methanobacteriota; Halobacteria; Halobacteriales; Halobacteriaceae. The record is from RNAcentral.
AGUGUGAAGGCAUAGAGCCUUCACUUUUGUACACCGUAAGGUGGUGCACGAAUAAGGACUGGGCAAGACCGGUGCCAGCCGCCGCGGUAAUACCGGCAGUCCGAGUGAUGGCCGAUCUUAUUGGGCCUAAAGCGUCCGUAGCUGGCUGAACAAGUCCGUUGGGAAAUCUGUCCGCUUAACGGGCAGGCGUCCAGCGGAAACUGUUCAGCUUGGGACCGGAAGACCUGAGGGGUACGUCUGGGGUAGGAGUGAAAUCCUGUAAUCCUGGACGGACCGCCGGUGGCGAAAGCGCCUCAGGAGAACGGAUCCGACAGUGAGGGACGAAAGCUAGGGUCUCGAACCGGAUUAGAUACCCGGGUAGUCCUAGCUGUAAACGAUGUCCGCUAGGUGUGGCGCAGGCUACGAGCCUGUGCUGUGCCGUAGGGAAGCCGAGAAGCGGACCGCCUGGGAAGUACGUCUGCAAGGAUGAAACUUAAAGGAAUUGGCGGGGGAGCACUACAACCGGAGGAGCCUGCGGUUUAAUUGGACUCAACGCCGGACAUCUCACCAGCCCCGACAGUAGUAAUGACGGUCAGGUUGAUGACCUUACCCGAGGCUACUGAGAGGAGGUGCAUGGCCGCCGUCAGCUCGUACCGUGAGGCGUCCUGUUAANUCAGGCAACGAGCGAGACCCGCACUCNUAAUUGCCAGCAGUACCCUUUGGGUAGCUGGGUACAUUAGGUGGACUGCCGCUGCCAAAGCGGAGGAAGGAACGGGCAACGGUAGGUCAGUAUGCCCCGAAUGGGNUGGGCAACACGCGGGCUACAAUGGUCGAGACAAUGGGAAGCCACUCCG